This is a long non-coding RNA of Acanthopagrus latus (yellowfin seabream), 2456 nucleotides long. RefSeq lists it as uncharacterized. NCBI's taxonomy places the organism in Eukaryota, Metazoa, Chordata, Actinopteri, Spariformes, Sparidae. The record is from RefSeq and is a predicted model, not a curated record. The transcript is spliced from 4 exons.
UCAUUUGGGCAUCAGAUUAGUGAAUGUGGUUUGUGUUCAGGGCACUUAGUCUGUACAGAAAGGUGGUGUACAAAACAUUCUCAUUUAAUAAAGUUUUAAAUGUUACUGUAUGUGGCAUUUAGGUACAGUCAUGUGACAUGUUUCUUUUUAACUUGACCUUGUAGUCAAACUUCGAUCAUGUAUUUUCUUUGUCUGAUUGUCAUUCUCUCUUUCCUGACACGCAGAUCUUGAUGUGGAAUUUGUUCAGUGUGAAUAAAUGCUCUUUCUUACAGAAUAUCUAAAGAUCCUGAUUCUGUCUUUAAAGGUAUAAUAUUAAAUACUAGCUAAGUAGCUAACAGCAGCUACAGUAAGUGAGUCAGAUAGAUAUGAAUAUUAUCUUUAAACUAUCCUGAACACAAUUCACAGUACAUGAAACGUCGCAGUGCUGUGAGAUAGUUUGAAUGUAUGACAUUUGGCUUCCUGUGACCGUCCAGUCAACAUGCCGUCUGGAACACAGGUGGGUCUUUUAUUAUUAGUUUCACACGAGUUGAGAUGACUGGAGGUUCUGGCAGGAUUUGGGGAAUUCUCUAUGAAAUAUUGGCACCUUACAAAGCCUCAUGUUCAGAGUCAGGAUCAGAAUUGAGUAUUUUGUCAUGGAGGUGUUCACACACGUUAUUGCCUUAGCAUACACAUUACAUUUGUGCAGGAAUGUGCAGAAAACUGAUCAGUAUUAUCCACAAUAUACAAACAGUUUUUGAUGUAUUAACUUUUUUAAAUUUCUCUUAUAUUUUGUGUGGAGAUGAUUAUAGGAAUGCAUAAUAAAUAUUUAAGCUAAAAGACAAAUCAACCCCUCUCACAGACAAUGAGCUCUGAUGAAAGAGGUGAUCAUGGCUGGAAUGUGACUCUUUCAGUAGUUGAUUACAAUAAAAGCUUUGGCUGGAAUGCAACUGUAGUCAUUUCACUAACACACAGCAGACAGCAGAUCAGUUCUUAAAAACUAUGCAGGUUUUAGUGGAACCUUGAGCACCUAUGGUUAUCAUUGCAAUUAUCCCAAACUCUGACACCUUAUGAAACACAGCUCAGAGCAGCUGAGAAGCUCAGCUCCAAUCAAAGACAAGUGAAGUCAGCUGGUUAAUGUUUGGUCCUGCAGACUCUCAGCCUGCCAUCAGAGUCCACUUCUUUUUGCAUAAAGCAUUGAAUCCAGCACCACUGUUCCAAAAGUUACUGUCCGAACCGUAGUCCUUGUGAAAGGGAGGCCGAGCCCAGUAGUCACCAAACCUGCCUGGGAGUCGCAGGCAAAAGAGGCAGACAAAUCAAGCCAGAUUUAGAAUCUAAGGCUCAACUGGGGGGCAGUGGAUUUUAAAUCACAGGCUCCCAGAAAGUUGUGAAAUAUUUCUGGGGGAGAAAGGACCCCUGAGAGGACACUCGGUCAUGUUCAUCUACCAGAGGGGCAUCAAAGAGGGCACGAGCUCUUAUCAAGGUCAAGAAUCUAUCGCUGAUAACAUCAGAACGCGUGAUCUGGGCUGUCGAAGGCACACAGGAGGUGGUCUGUCAGGAGAUGGGAACUCGGCCGUCGGAGCAAAGAAGAGGAGUUGGGUGAGCUCAGCAUUCGGCUUCGCAUGCCCACGACAUACUUCUACCCUGUGGGAUUACGGGUGGACGACCUAGAUUGCGACACAGCCCUCCUGCCCUCCAUCUAUUUUUCCUUGUUCCCUCCCUCUGCUGACUGGUCAACAGAGAUUACAGUCAGAGAGCAGAGCCUGGCAGGCGGACAGGACGCUGAGCAUGUGACUGAGUGACACUGAGGGACGAAGACAAAAACACUCUUCUCUCUGCUGUUCUUCACUGCUUCUCACUGUUUCCUCUUCUUUAGUCCUUAUGCUCUUCUGUCAUUUACACUGAGCACUGUUAUCCUCCAGAGCAGCAUCUUUAUGGGGAUAUUAUAUUAAGUCCUAUUGUAUUAUAAAAUUAUUCCAGCACAGGAACUGCUUUGUUUUUAAUGUUCACAAGCCCAAGAUUUUACAGUAGUACACAGAAUGUCAUACAAGUGUAGAGAAAGUGGUACCAGGAGAUGAGCUGACAGAUUUCCUUCAACUGCACAAUGAAGAGGAAUCUGGAGCUGGUCUGCCUGUCUGUUAAGGAUUAACUUCAGCUGCUGGUUUACUGAUUGAGUAAACUGGUUCAGGCAUUAAUCCUCCUGCAUGCUGUACUGUGCAGAGGAUCCUCACUUUAUCUGCUGUGAAGGCCCAUGUCGCUCUGGAUGUCACAGAUUUUCUGUCCUUACUCUGUGUGUUUUUUGCGUCACUAAUCAAUUUGUAAAUAGAUCUUCCUGCAGUUAUAAACUUCUUCUCUCCUUCCGACUAAGAGUUGUGUUCAGGGUCAAUAACAUAGCACAUGCAGAGUGAUAUUUGAACGUCCCAAUGCUGCUAUUUUGAUGAGUUGUACGAGUAAUAAAGUUUCCAUUCCACGACAAUUCA